RNAcentral lists this long non-coding RNA (2897 nucleotides) under Equus caballus (horse). RNAcentral describes it as "lncRNA (ENSECAG00000059549.1)". The record is from RNAcentral. Lineage: Eukaryota; Metazoa; Chordata; Mammalia; Perissodactyla; Equidae.
UUUCACUUAUUGGUUGCUCAUGGCUUAGAACAACAGUGACUUGUUAUUCCCCCCAGUCCUGUGGGUUGACUGGGCCAUUCUUUGCUGGUUCCACCUGAGCUCAUUCAGAGAUGGACUGGCCUCAGCUGGGAUGCCUGGCCCUCUCUUUCCAUGAGGCCUUUCAUCCUCAAGGAGGCUACACCUGGUUGGGCUUCCUUCUAAGAUGGUGGCAGCAUUUCUGGAGAGCACACACUUAUUAAGCUUCUGCUUGCCUCAAUGUGCUAAGUCACAUUGCCAAACCCAGAGUCAAGGUGGGACUGUAUGUGGGUGUGGAUAUCAGAAGACGUGGUUUAUUAGGGGCAGUUAAUGUAACAAGCUACCACUCUGGCUGCUCUCUUGAGAAGAGACUUGAUGAAACGAAUGGCAGAGCAAGGAGGCCAAUUAAAGGGCUAUAUAGUAAUCCAGGUGGAACCUAAGCAGUUUGAUGAUGGACAGUGCAUGAGAUGUGGAAGAGAGGGGAGUUAAGGAGGACCCCCGGAUGUUUGCCUCCAGCACGGAGUUGCUAUAUACUGAGAAGGCUCCAUCCUCCGGAUUUAACAGGGCUCCCUUGGCCAUACAUAGUAUGUAUUUCACAUCCUCUCAAUCUGUUGCGAUGUUUUACCGCGUGCAUUUCACGGCGGAUCCUGAUUGUAAAUGGGUUGUAGAAACUUCAUUGGCUUCCUGUUUGUGACAUUUCUGAUGGAUGGUCCCUAUUUAUAGAGAACAGCGUGGCGUGUGCAAAGUUACACGGCUCCACGCCAUGCUUAAUGGAUUGGAAGGAGAGAGCUGGCGCUCCCACUGUGAAGAGAAUCAUCUGCUUCCUUUUCGUGCAGCAGUCAGAAAUGGCCGGUGAUGGAACCCAGGCUGUGAAAGGCCUGUGAGGCUGAGUCCAGUCCUGGCUCUUCCACACAGCUUCUGGGUUCCUGCAGAACUCAGUCCCAGGAAUAAUGCGGGGGCUUGCAGUGUUAAGGGCAUGGCUGCUGGGGUACACCAACAGAUGUGGAGCCCGCCCUGGGUCAUUUGGCGGUGUGUGUCCAGGUGUUUUGAGGAUUAAAGGAGUUCAUGUAUGUAAAGCAGGAUGCUCAGCACUGGACUCAUAGUUCUGCCACCUGUGUUAAUUCUCAUCAAAUAUCUAAGUGAAAAAUAUGCUAGGGGGAAUGGAUUGACAUGUGAAAGUGUAGACAUUGGGCUAUUGAGUAAGAGUUUCACAGAGAUGCUAUAAGGGCAUAGAGGUUAAGGAAGAAACCCUCACAGAUGGUAAGCUCCCCAGCUCUGGAAGUGUUGCUGAAGAAAGCAUGGAGAAGAUUCAGAUAUCAGAUUGGGAGUUGGAUAGAUGACUUUUCAGGUUACUGAUCAACUGGUGAUUUUCUGAUUUUAAAAGAAAACUUUUGCACGUUAACCAGUAUUUUAGUCAUUUCGUGUAUAGAAGCUAUUUUUAUUAACUUUUUCUGCUGAUGAGACAUUUUGUGGAGAAUGAAUCAGCUACUUGUGCGAAUAUGCCAUUUAUUUGGAAGACGUCACACAAAUUUGCUCUGUUCUUUAUUUUUAAGAAUUUUCUAUCUAAAAAAUUUUUUCCUUAUUAAAUCAGGAAAAUUUUGUUAGUUUCUGGUUAAAGUUCUCCUAACAUAAUUAAGCAAUGCAUUAAAUGCAGCAAUAUUGACACAGUCAUCCAAUCUGUAUUUGCUGAACGUCUACUAUCAACCAGCCAGUGUGCCGCCCCUCUUCUUGCUUACAGUAUUCUGGGGACAUGAUAAUUAAUACAAUUGUUCUUGAUGUUAUUAUGCACAGAAUCAUCAGAGUUGCUUGAUAAAAAGGAUUGUCAAGCUCCUCCACCAGUUCUGAUUCAGUAAGUCUGAGUGGGGCCGAAGAUAUGUUAUUACAAAUAGCCUGGAUGACUCCGAGGUGGGAGGGCCAUCACAGACCGCAGAGUGAGAGAUGCUGGGGUAGAGGAAAUAUCAAGCUAACUGGAGUCCGAUGGCUCAGUUCUAAUCUGGGCUCUGCCACUUACCAGUUAUAUGACCUGUUUUAUAAUCAACCUCUCCCAUCUAGUAUGUGCUCCAGAAAUAUUUGUUGGGUCAAUGAGCUUACCUCUGUUUCCUUAUCUUUAAUGUCAAGAUUUUUUUAAAAACCCACCUUCCCUGAAUGUUACGAGUCCUAAAUGAAGUAGGGGAUAAAAUGCACCUUGACAUGUAUUUGUGGCUCAAGAAAGGUGACUCCUCUGUUUGCUGCAAGUUGAUUUCAUAGGUAUGUUGUGUUUGGAGCCAGAAAUAAUAGAGGAUUUCUGGCAUUAAUCAGAGUCAGAGAAGCUGUGCUUAGCUCUUUGCCUUUUGAGAUGGUCAAAGAUGACCUUUGUUACACAGACACAUCAAUAAUGUCCAUUAUAGCCUUGAAGCAAGUGACGCAUCACAAUUAAAGCCACAGAAACCACCAUCUCUGUAAUAACAUAAGUUGUUCAGUGUGAAGAUUAUUCUUGGUAGAGUGGAUGUAAGAAUUGCCUCAUUGCCCCCGCUGUAGGUUGUAUUUAUGACUUUUAGGCCAAGGUUUUAUUUCUCUGUAAAAAUCUCAUAUAUUUAACAAAUUAGGAUUUGUCGAGUAACUGAUUGGGCAAUAAAACUACUUCCACUAUUAAUGGUAACACACAUUCUGGAGAUACGAACAAAGACCUGCUGGCUAUAGUUUAAGAUUAAGAUAAAUUUUUUACAACGGGCAAUUGGAAAAUAUACAAUUGUAAGUAAAGUAUAUUACUUUGAACUUCUCAGAGCAAAGAUAUUCUGCAAAUGUGAAGUAUAAAUAUUUGAAAAUGUUGUUAUGAUACAAAAAGCCUCUGGUGGAAGCUCUCUAGUGUUGUGGAAAGCAGAUUAAAAUGUAUAAAGCCUGCU